ACAAUAUUUACAAUAAUUUUUAUCUAUAACAUAUCAAAAUAAGUUGAUUAAAUUUUCAGGUUUAAUAAAGAAUGGUAGCUACAAUGGUGACCAAUGAAAAAUUGUUGGUAAUUAUUUCUCCGAAUAACGAAAAACAUCAACGACCCUAUGCUGUCAGAACUCAGAACACCAUACAUACAAUAGAUGCAGUACUUAAUUGAAAUGACAAGGUAGUGAUAUGGAUGUUGAAUCUUUGCAUGAACAUUUGUUAUCUUUAAAAAAAGCAAGUAAUCCUAAAGUUGCUCCAAUAAGACUUAUUAACAUCAUCAAACUGAGUAUCAGGAAA
Molecule: long non-coding RNA, 325 nt
Organism: Xenia sp. Carnegie-2017
Lineage: Eukaryota; Metazoa; Cnidaria; Anthozoa; Malacalcyonacea; Xeniidae
Exons: 3
Source: RefSeq, a predicted model, not a curated record